Molecule: long non-coding RNA, 21755 nt
Filed under: Carica papaya (papaya)
Lineage: Eukaryota; Viridiplantae; Streptophyta; Magnoliopsida; Brassicales; Caricaceae
Description: long non-coding RNA (CPAP_LNC010384)
Source: RNAcentral
UUCCUUUUCCUUUUUCAAAUAAACCGAGAUUUGUAACUUUCUGUGUUUUUUCUUUUAAAAAUUUCAGACAGGGAAGGUUAUAAGCUCAACGAACUCUCGGAAAACUGGAUCCAUCGGAAAAUGGUUUCAGCAGAAGGAGUUGAUGAGUAACUCGGUGAAGAAGAAAGACAGGGCAAGAGUUGAGAACGCCCAUGUCCACUCAGCCGUGUCAGUUGCAGGGUUAGCAGCAGCCUUGGCUGCUGUUUCUGCAGCAAGUAACAGAGCCAGUGGUGGUUCGAGUUCAAAAAUGGCGAUGGCACUGGCAUCUGCCACUGAACUCUUGGCUUCUCAUUGCAUUGAACUGGCUGAACAAGCCGGUGCCGAUCAUGAUCGUGUUGCUUCCGUCGUCAGAUCAGCCGUCGAUAUUCACAGUCCCGGCGAUCUAAUCACUCUCACAGCUGCAGCAGCAACGGGUAAUAACUCAGUCUGUUUUACAUGAUCUUUUACUAAUAAAACCCAGAAGAUCUAGAAGAAGAACCUUCCGGUAAUAAUAUGUGUGUUUCUUUUUAUGGAUCAGCUUUGAGAGGAGAAGCUGCGUUAAAAGCUAGAGUUCCGACAGAAGGAAGGAAAAAUGCAAGUAUAAGUCCAUGUGAAAGGAGUAUAACGGAGAUUCAUUGGCCUGCUGCUUUUCAUAAUAGAACGGAUCAAGAACAGAAUCCUCCAUGUGAGGGUGAAUUAAUGCAGAUCACUCGAAAAGGUAAUUUCUUUUCUGGGUUUUCAAUUUUAAAACAAAAGCAGUCUCUGCUCAGUUCAAUUUUUUUACGUGCAUCAAUUUGUCCAACGCAUAUAAAUUUUAGCCUCAAACAAAUAUUGGAGAAGACGGCUUUCCUUUUGAUUUUAAUGAACAUAAUCUUUCUUUGUUACUUCAGUAAUUAAUUAGUAAGUGCACAGUAAGUUCUCAUUUAGAGUAGUUUUUGGCUUCUAUUUUUGCAUUUGAAAAAAUAAUUUUAUAACUAAAUGGAUAAGAUGAAAAUGGUUGGAAAGAAAUUUAAAGUUAAAAUGUAAUUUUGAUAAAUUUAUUGCAAAGUGAAAACCAGUUUUCAUUAGUUUAUAUAUUCUUUUUGUCUUUUUACGUGCAUCAGUUUGUCCAAUGCGUUGAAAUUUUAGCCUUAAUUAGUGGAGGAGGUGGGUUAUUUUUAUUUAAAAAUUUAUAUAUUUUAUUAAUUAAAUAAUAUAUACACACUGAUCACUAUAAUUUCUUAAAGAAUAUAUACUGAAACACAGUUUGCAUGACUAUAUAAUCUCUUACAGAAAAUGAAUUACCAACCAUUCAUUGAUUAAUGCAUAACACAAUUUCAACAAUUAUGAUAUUCAAUUCCCUUUUAUUGGUGUUUAAUUUACAGGAGUGUUGCGAUGGAAGCGAGUAUCAGUUUAUAUCAACAAAAAAUCUCAGGUACAUACAGUAUACAUACAUACAUACAUAUAUAUAUAUAUAUAUACACAUAAAUAAAUAUACAAAGAGCGAAAGAGAGAGAGUUGAAUUAAAUUCAUAAUUUUACCAAUAUAUCAUUCAAAUUUCAGAUCAUAAUCAAGCUAAAGAGCAAACAUGUGGGGGGAGCCUUCUCCAAGAAGAAUAAAUGUAUAGAGUCAUAAACUUGUUCUGAAUUUCAAGGACUACUUUAUUUAAUCAACCACUCGUAAAUCAGUUUUUCUACUUGAUUUUUUCUGGGUUUAAACGAUCUGUGGGUGAUAGCAGGCAUCGUUUAUGGAGUCUGCGACGAGACCGCUGCAUGGCCAUACAGGAAAGAGAGGGAAAACACAGAAGAUCUGUAUUUUGGACUGAAGACUGCACAGGGACUUAUGGAGUUCAAAUGCAGGAGCAAGCUUCAUAAGCAAAAAUGGGUUGAUGGAAUUCAGAGUCUUCUUCGCCAAGUUACCUGCAUUGAGGCAACUGACUGCUCCCUUCAGUCUUUAAGCAUAACCAAUACUAUAUAAAUCAUAUAUACAUAUAUAUGCAUAUGUAGAUCAUUUGCUUUGUACAUAGAUAUCAAGUAGUAUUCACAGGAAACUCUCAAAUCAUUUUGUUUUUUCAACACAUUAUAAAAGUCAUCAGUGUGAUCUUUAUAUUGAAGUUUUGGAAUUAAAUGGACAGAUCUUGCUUUUUUGCGAUUCCAAUGACAUUGCUUAUUUGGUUUUGAUUUUUUUCGGGUUCCGAGAAAUGUGCAUCAAGUUUUGCAAACUCGGAAAUGCCGCAAGAAUUUUAUGCUUUCACUGGUUGAUUGACAAUAUGAGCAAGUCAAUAAACACAUCUUUCAUCUGAAAAAAUAUAUAAAUACUUUCAUUAGAACUAAAAAGAAGCAAGAAAACAAUUAAAGCAAAAGAAAUUCAUGCAUCGAAGAAACUCACUCGAAACAGUUCUAUUUCGUUAGGUAAACCAACAAUUGACCUUGUUUUCAAUUUUAAGAAUAUGCUAACUUCCAUCAUCCAUUUCAUCAUCUAACCAAUCCACUUUUCCCACCCACCAAAGAAUUCAAAUGAUUUAUAUAUGAGAAGGGUAAGAAGAGAAACGACAAACAUUAAAGUUUAUAUGCUUCAUUUUCCCUUUCAAAUAUCUGGUAUUAUAAUUUGAAUUCAAAGAGUGGAACAUUUGAUUUGAAGUACUUCUGUAUAGAACAAUUCAAUAAUAACUGAACGUACAACCCUAUUGCACCUUUACAGGUCUUUUCUUUCUAUUCUUAAAAUACAACAGUCUUGUUUGUGCCAUAAGGUAGCACUCGCAGCUCGCAAUAUGAUCUUAUAGCUUUUGAAAGGCAUUUUUUCUCAAGAUCCUCUGAUUUCUGAACAAAACUUCUCAGAUUGUCUCUAUGAGAAACUGCCUCAACCUGCAAAACAAUUUCUGAUGCAUUAUGAAUUGUUUAAGAACAAGGAAUCAAGACAAACACGCACAUCAUCUACAAGAAAGCAGAAUUUUAAUCCAUAGCACCAAGAAAAUCAGAAAGAAGCCACUGGGAUAUUAGACCUAAAUAAAUGCUCUCAUGUCAGUCGCAACUAUCAUAUUUCAACUUCAGAAUCAGUUGCGCUAUGGUUUGUUUAGGGAAGAAUCAAGCUGUAGAUAUUGAACCUAAAUAAAUGCUCUCAUGUCAGUAGCAAAAACUUAAAUUCACAUCCUAAAAAGCAUGUCUUUGAACAAUCAUGCAUCACAUUCUCAAAAGCAUUACUUAAAUUCAUAAAUAGAGAAGAAAAGAUGGGAUGAUAACACGUAGGAUCAGGAUUUCAGCUGAAGUAAAUUCAACUUGAUCCUUUGCAUUCUUUGUUUCUCAACCUGUUUUAGCUUCUGAUCAACUGUUCACCUCUAAAGCCCAAUAAAGUUCAUACACUACUAAGCUUUUAACAUGCAGCUUCUUUUACUUCAGCUAAAGACUUCAUAGGCUAGAUUUUGACUAUAGAAAUGAGCAGCAACUUGAGACUCUAUGAAGCCUAUUAUAAAGAAGCAUUUAGGCUGCAGAGCUUGGAAGUAAAGACGCAGCAUUCAAGAUGUUACAACUUCUGACCUGUAAGUUAUUAGCUAAAAUAUCUAGAGCAUGGACAAGCAAACUGAUGGUAUUGAAUGAUGAAAGCAUCAAAUGUCUAAGAAGGAUAAGAAAAGGAAAUGAAAGCCAAUUUAGUGAGAGCUUAAAUUGACAAGAGUUAUUUGGCAUGUACUAUUCUUUUCUCACGUCUAAAAAACUAUGAAAAAGUUAACAGGUGUACUUUAAGCAGUGCAAAUGAAUCUGUGAGGAUGCAUAAUUUGAAAAUCUGAAUAACGGUAAGAGGUUGAAAGUAAAGAGGCAGCAUUCUGUAGGCAAGACAACUACGAACUAUGUGAUAAAUUAAAACAUCUAAAGCACAGACAGGCAAAAUGAUGGCCAUUGAUGAAAAUAGGAAAUGAAAGCCAAUCCAAGUCGCCAUUAAGUAGACUAGUUCCGAUUACUCUUGGCAUAAACAACUCUGAUUCUCACACAUUUAGAGUAUAAAAAAAGUUACUGGGUGCACUCAAGGAGUGGAAAUGAAUGUGUUCGGAUGAUAAUUUGAAUAACUUUUUAAUGACUUAAUGACCACAUUCCAUUUCUUAGACGGCAGACACAAAACAAAAAGGAGCAUAAUCCUAAUCAGUUAUCAUUGUGAUAAGUACCAUUUGCUCAAUGAUAGGUCCCGAAUCAAGUUCCUCGGUCACAAAGUGACUUGUUGCACCAAUUAGCUUUACCCCGGCAUCAAAUGCCUGCAAACAUACUAAAGGAAAUUUAAAAAAAUGGGAAUUCAAGAGUAAGAGCUAAAACAUCAGGUUGAUUACCAGGACUUUGAAGAGCAAAGCACAUUAACCUGUUUUGAUGGAUGUCCACCCUUGAAGGAUGGCAAAAGUCCAUGAUGAAUGUUAAUUAUAUCCUUCCCAUAACUUUUUAAGAAAUCACCAGAUAGUACCUGCAAAACAAAUUACCAUUUGAUCAAAAAUAUUUUAGUAACUUUUACUUGUAGACACUUCCAAAAAUUUGUUCAAACUCUGAUAGGCCAGUUACAAUCUUCCCACAUAAAUUAGCAUCACACUAACAAUUUUAUAUAAAAAUUGAGGAAAAGAGUCUCACGUGUCACCAAAGAUACUGAUAAGAGUACCAAAAGGGGCACCAUGAAUUCAUCAAAAUUGCGAAGUACUAAAAUGAGUGCCAGGAAGAAAUACACUAGAAAAGAUGUCCAGAAAAUUAAUUAGCGUGCUAGGUUAAAGGAGAAAAAAUGGAAACAUGUUCUUUUGUUUAGGGCAUUGAACCUAAAGAUAAGAGGUCUAAUAANNNNNNNNNNNNNNNNNNNNNNNNNNNNNNNNNNNNNNNNNNNNNNNNNNNNNNNNNNNNNNNNNNNNNNNNNNNNNNNNNNNNNNNNNNNNNNNNNNNNNNNNNNNNNNNNNNNNNNNNNNNNNNNNNNNNNNNNNNNNNNNNNNNNNNNNNNNNNNNNNNNNNNNNNNNNNNNNNNNNNNNNNNNNNNNNNNNNNNNNNNNNNNNNNNNNNNNNNNNNNNNNNNNNNNNNNNNNNNNNNNNNNNNNNNNNNNNNNNNNNNNNNNNNNNNNNNNNNNNNNNNNNNNNNNNNNNNNNNNNNNNNNNNNNNNNNNNNNNNNNNNNNNNNNNNNNNNNNNNNNNNNNNNNNNNNNNNNNNNNNNNNNNNNNNNNNNNNNNNNNNNNNNNNNNNNNNNNNNNNNNNNNNNNNNNNNNNNNNNNNNNNNNNNNNNNNNNNNNNNNNNNNNNNNNNNNNUACUUUUAAGCUAAUAUGCUUAAAGAUGCUUGCAAGCACUAAAUAAGCAUCUGAACACCUUCUGAAAGAUUGAAUUUUGGGGUAAAUAUGAGCUCAAGCAUAAAAAUUGUGCUGUAAUUCUAUACUUUCAAGACCACAUGAAAACUAAGAAUAGGAACCGAGGUGCCAAAAGUGUGGUGGAAAAAGAAGUCAAAAUCAACUUGCCAAUUAAUUGGUCUAUUAAGAAGCUGCCACAUAUGAAAAAGUAAAACGAGCUGACUACUAGUGAACUGUCACCACCUUUGCACUGGUGAGAAAUGACUAUAACUAGGCCACUAAGGAGUUAAUGCCAUUGUUGAACUAAUUAGAAGUAUAACACCUAUGUUGAAUAUGAUAUUUUAUUAUUUUAAUUAAUUAAUUAGUAUUAUGUAAUUAAAAUUUUAUAAUAAUAAUCUCACAUUAUUAGAAUUUUAGUAGAAUAAAAAUUUUCUUAUUAAUAAAUUAAAAAUUCUAUAAAUACCCAGGUGUAACAAACUAAAAGGUGAAAAAUAAAUUUAUUUAUUUAUUUUUCUAAAAUUUUAUAUGGUAUCAAAGCCAAAUAAUAUUAUUUUAGGAUUCUAAUUUUAGGGUUAUUUUCAAAUCCUAAAAUAGUACAAUAUGCUUCGUUGGUACCUUUUUAUCCAUAUCCACUUUCAUCACCACUCAAGAUGGAUUUGAACUCAUUGAUGUAUUUUAUGGUGUUUAUGGUGAUUUUUGCCAGCAAUUUAGGCACUGGUAAAAAGUGCAGCUGCACUCUGAAGGCGCUGGUAAAAAGUGCAGCUGCACUCUGGAGGCGCUGGUAAAAGGCCCUGCCGCACUCUUGAAGCGCCGGUAAAAAGCUGCAGCCGCACAUUUUAGGCACUGGUAAAAAACUGAAGCCACACAUCUACAAGCGCCGGAAAAAAAAGUGCAGUUGCACAUCCGAAAGCACCAAUAAAAAUAUUCAACCUCACAACCGUAAGCGCUAGUAAAAAGUUGCAGUCGCACAUCUAUAAUCGUCAAUAAAAAGAUGCAACUGCACAUCACAUGCACUGAUAAAAAGUUACAGCCAUACAUCUACAGGUGGCGGUAAAAAAAACUGCGUCAUUUCAUUUUUAUGCGCACGUUCAAAGAUUUGUCCGAGUUCGAGCCAUUUUUUGAGCCGAUUUCAAGCUGUUUUAGAGCCAAGCCUGAGCUAUUUUAGAGCCAAACCCGAACUGUUUUAGAGUCGAACUCAAGCUGUUUUAGAGCUAAGCCAAGCUGUUUUGAGCUGAUUUGAGCCAUUUUGGGCCGGGUCUACCCGUGUUGAGCUGGGCUAAGCCGUUUGAGCCAGACCGAGUUGUUUUAAGCCGAGUCGAGCUGUAAUUGCUCUUUUUAGAUGGGAGCCAUGUUGCCUCCCAACCUUAAUCAUGUUUUUGCUUCGAGCUAUUGAGGCUAAUCUCUUUUAAGGUUAAUAUACGGGUGCACGGGACUAGAAGAUGGAGAUCUCUCAUCUCAUGUUAACAAACGACAUAUCAGAAGUCUUAUUCAUGAUUGUCUGAUAUGAGAAAGAGAAGAGAAAGAGAGAGAAGAAGAGAGAAGGAACACAAAGGAAGAAGAGAGAUUUUGAGGUAAAAUUUGUUUUAUUUCUUCGAUGCCUUUACAUUCGUAAAAAUCACCUUAUUUACAAGCUUAUGAGCGUUAAAGGUUGGAUGAUGAUUGAGGCGAGACUCGCUUGGCCAUUUGGUUGCGGUGGCAACCGCAGGAUCUGCUGUAAUGAUUAGGAUUGAUUCAGUGAUUCAACUCUAACCCUAAUCCGUCCUGCUAUUUUGCCCUCUGUGGGUGAAAUGACUUUCCUGCCUUUUUCCUAUAGUAAACAACCAGAGGUCCCUCCUUUUGAAGCCAGACAAAGCUGCCUUGAGGAACAUUAGAUGUGCGCUUCCCUCUUUCCAAAUUGUUCCGGAAUUGAUGGUCAACUUAGCACAAUCUAAAUUGUGACUAUUGGGUGAACAACAAUGAGUUAGUCAUGAUUUUGGAUUAUAAAACAAAAAUAUAUCUAUUGUGUACCUCAUUUUUCCUUUUGAUGCUUACAUUAAAGCGGCUAGCUUAAGAUUGAAAGGUGGCUCCUAGGGAGAACUUAUUCAAAGGACGUAAAUUGACUCUUUCAGAGAGUGCACUCUCUCUCUCUCUCCACCUUUGCCUCUUUUAUUUUUGUUUUUGAUAGAAAAACAAAUUGUAUUAAGAAGAGAGAAAAAGUAUAAAGUAGAGGAUUAGAUGUCCUCCCAAAUAAAAAUAAAAGAAAGGGAAAGGGAGAUAAUCAAUGAACCUUAUAGAAGGGAUAGCUUGUCAAUCUCUAUGCAAUGAAGACAAAAAACAACCUUUGAAUAAACCAUGUGCAUGGCCUAAGGGGAUAACAAAAAGACACCUUAUCAUAGAGAAGUAAAAAAUAAAGAAAAAAAGAUCUCUUAAGAUACUAGCAUUCCUUUUCAGCCAAAUCACUUGUAGACCAGGCAAAAUAUAGCCCUCCUCCAAAGCGCUUUAUUUUACUUCCUCUUGUCAAACUCACCAAUAGCAGAAGUAAUAGACCCCUAUAGAUGAUGAUGAGCUGCCCAAGCCACAUUGAAAAUGUCAAAGAGCCAACAACAAAGCUUCCAAACCAAAUCACAAAGCAAAAAAAGGUAACUAUGCAUCUCUGCAGCUUUAUAGCACAUCACACAAGCCCUUGGAUACAAUGCAUGAUUGGUCUAUGAGUUUGGAGCAAAUCAUUAGUAUCCAGUCUAUCCAAAAUAGUAAUCCAAACAAAAACCUUUAAUCAGGAGUAGGAAUGCUCGACCAGAUUUUGUUAUAAACAUCAUUGUGAAUGGAAGGACUACAGGUUAGAAAAGCAAAGAACGACUUGUAGAUAAAAGUACCCAAAAAGUCUAAGGACCAAACUCUAUGAUCAGGGUCUAGGAAAAACAACAAAUCAAAGAAGUCAUAUCUACAACUUCACAAUCAUUAAAGUAUCAAAAAUAGUGCAUAUUCCAUGAAUGAGAACCAUCUGAGAGGUCCGAAAAACAAGAAAUAGAAGGAUUAUGUCUUUAGGAUAGAUUACAAGGGAAGUGAAGAGCUAGUAAAAACUCAUCAAUCCAACUGUCCUCCCAAAAGAGAAAAUGGCAAUCAUCAGCCACUUCGCAUUGUAGACAAGGGGAAGAAACUCUCAUAGAGGCAAGAGAAUGCUUUCUGAUGACUCCACUACGAGGGAAAAAAUGCUCACUUUCAAAUUCAUCUCAUCAUGCUGCAAACUGAACUUGCUCUUAGUUACCUGACAAUAAAUAGAUUGAGAACAUCUAGUGUUGGCUUUUGUAAGGUGAUAUAUAUGACCAAAGAAAGUUUCACUUGGUAACUCAUAAAGAUGUGAAACCAUCAACGGCAAAAAGGGUCUAGAUACUGCAUAAUUUCAAUCAAGCUCUACCAGCAAAACAGAAUGAAACUUCUUUUCCACCAGAGAUUAAACUGGUAUCUUAGACUAGGUAGGGAUGUUUUUGGCUCUAGUCUUUGAAGGUGGAUUGGUUUGUACUUGGACAAAAUUUUGCAACCAUACUCAGUACCAUGUGGUGAAUGGCAUGCGAAUUAGGUAUUUGUAGGAUAUCUAGUGUGGAAAUAGGCAUUCAAGAGAUAAGUUUCCUUCUACCCACUCCAUAGCUCAGUUCAAGGAGGCCCCAGUUGUCAAUGGUUUUUGAAGUGUACAGUAGUGGAAUCAAGUGAAGCAUCUCUCUUCUUGCGAUUUAAAUGAUUGAGAAAUUAAUGAUUGGAUUUCCUUUCUUGCCAAGUUGAGUGUACUUCUAUUCUUUCAGCACUAAAGACGUGCAAAUGUGGAAGCACUCUGAGGAGGGAACUUUUAAGUUAAUCGUAUUAAAACCACUUGAUUGUAGAUGGUGGGAUCUUGAGUUAUCUCCCUUGGAAGAAAGUAUGGGGAAUGAAGGCAACUCCCAUAAUUGCUCUUUUUAGAUGGGAGGCAACAUGGCAAGAAUCCUAACUAUUGACAUUCUUAAUUUGAAGGUAGAAUUUUGGUAAACCAUUUUGGUGUCAAUGUGAUUAUAAUGCCCUAGCCUUGGGAUUCAUUUCUCAAUCCCCUAAACCUCAACUAGAUGGACACUUGGAAGGGGAGGAACAAUAAAGCUUUUAGAAAUUCCUCUUUCCCCCUUGCUUUAAUCCAGGAUCAUUGGCUUGCAACCCUUCAUAUUUUGUUUAAGUGUCAUCCUAUGUAUGAUAAGGUUGAUAUUAUUAAUAAUAUUGACAUUUUCUCCUUUCAGUUAGAUGUAAGUAUUUUUCUAUAUUUCUCCUUUUGAUUCCGUUGUCAUCUUCCUCUUAGAAGAAGAUACAUGGUGUCAAAUUAUCCUACAAAUAGUAAAAUGCCACUCUCAUCCGAUGCAAGGAAUAAAAUAAAAAAGCUAAAAUCAAAACGACUCCUAAAUCAAGGUAAUAUUUCUGAAAUAGACUAUAUAAUAUAAAAGCAUAUGAAACUACUAAACUAAAUAAUAUUAUUAAGCUAUUUUGUACACUGAAAGCAUUCUAUCUUCCUUAUUUCAACUUUGCAUAAGUCUUCUUCAUUUGGCGAAAAGCUGCAUUGAUUGAGAUCUUUGAAAUUCACGGUUCCAAGGGAAAGCAAGAAAGCGAAAACCAUAGGCUCCACAAGACCAUGAAACUGAUUAAGUAAUAUGAUAUCGACUACAAGACGAACUUGUAAAUAUUACUCAUCAAUGGACUUCUUAAGUAAGAUCCUGAAAAUUUUCUUUUCACCAGCAUUGUUAAGAAUAUUAAGAAAAGUGAUAAGAACUUCAAUUUCUUCAAUGUGUUCUUCAUGUUGUGAAGGACAGAGGAAAAAUUUUGAGUAUCGACUACUGACAAGAGAAAAGCCUUUACAGACUCAGGUUUAGCUCGACAUAUCUGUGAUUCUUACUGUAACUUCAAACACAAGUAUAAAUAUAACUAGUACUCUUUUCCUAGCUGACAACAAGAAUCAUAGACACAACCAACCAGGAAGAGAAUUCUUACUCCAAAUAACUUUUAAAAGGUAUUGAUAUUAAACAAAAAGCUUGAUGACGUUGAAGUAUCUCAAUUCUUUCCAGACAUUCAAAAGAACCAAAACUCAAUAUAAUAGAUCCAAUUGCAAUGAAUUAUAAUUAAACAAUAGCUUGACUACCGCUUAAAGCUUCACUUUUAUUUUAUGGACCACACAAAAGAGAAAGAGUUGGGAUUCAAACCUAGAACUUGUUGAUUAUGACCUGGGAAAAUUGAAAAGAAAAAAAAAAGAAAUAUGAAGAUCAGGGGGAAAGGAAAAAUGGAAUAAAGAGAUAACAUCAAAAGAACUUGGAAUCAAGAGAUGAAACAAAGAGAAGUAGAACAGAGGACCAGGAAAAGAACAAUUGGGCUUAUGAUAAUGUUUCAUGUAGAACAUAACUACUAACUAGCUGCAUUGACCACAUUAAUUUAGAAAAUUAAAAGGAUAGAAAGAGAGAAUAGGAGUGGAAGAGAGGACUAAGCAAAGGUGAGAGGAAAAAGAAAGAAUAGAUAGAAGAAAAGGCUACAGGAGAAUAGACGAAAAACCAAAAUUUAGGAAUAAGCUGCAAGUACCAUUUCAAAAUAACAUAAUAAAUUUGCAUUAUAUCAAAUGUAUCUCAUAAACAAAAAUACGUGGAAGAAAGAAGCAAUAGUGCUAGGCAACAAAUUGGCCCAAUUAGAAGUUGCUAUCAACGUUGGACCCAUCAAAUUGACACAAGUUUUCUAUCGGAGCUGCUACCACCUUUGGACUGACAAGAAAUGAUACAAGUUGGCAAUAGGGGGUUGCCGAUGCUUUUGGACCAAUCAGAAGCAUAGCACCUAGGAAGAAAAGAUAAAAACUAAGCUCCAAUACCAUCCUAUUAAUAAUAAGAUGCUACCUCAUCCUAUGAGAAAAAGAAAAAAGAGCGAUCAGAGUAACUACUAAACCCAGCUAAUAUUUCACCACUGAGGUGACAACCCGAAGGUGUAAAUACACUUAUUCUUUCCACAUGAGAGUCACAGGUAUAUACCUGCAUUUGCUAGUAAUUUGUACUACAAGCAGCUGUAGAGAGGGGUACUUGUGUCUCAAUGGGUUAUAAUGAUAGACUUGCAUUAGGGCAAUAGUUACAGCUCAAAUCAAUAUUCUGCAACUGAUAGAAACUCCUACAAUCACAUCCAAAGAGGACUGGUUGUGCUGGUUUUUUAAGGAAAACAAUUAAUCCAACCAAUAUUUUCUAAAUAGCUUAUACAAAAUAAAUAUAUGAAAAUACUAAAAAUUGUAUAAGUAUCACAGAACUAUUUUCUAAUGCUAAAAAGAAGCCAUCAUGGUUUUUCCCAUUAUACGUUAGUGAGAAUCUUAAUGUAUGAUUUACCUGCAUGUACCUGGCUAGAACUAAAAAAUCAGUAUCCUGAACCAGCUCCAAGAUCUCCUGUUCUCUUUUGUUUGCUUUGGUUGUAUGCAAGUAAUGAUAUGGAAUACCAUGCCUUUCAAGAAAGCGAAUCACAUGCGUGUUUGAAGCUCUCUCAUGAUUACUAUCAUUCAAAGUAUUUAUGGACCAUAAUGAGUAAUGUGUAGCUUCAGUGUAGAGUUAAAUAGUCUAGAAAAAUCACCUUAUUACACAAGUUAUAUCCACAGGAAGCUUUCCAUCUUGCCAUGCGUGUAACAUGUCAACCAAGCAGUGAUCCUGCAGUUAGAUUAAAAUAGCUUCAGUAGACAGAAUAAACUUCAAUAUGAAGAAAAGAAGGGUUCAACAGAACUGAAAAUAUAUACCUGUUUUGAUGAAAGAAGAGCAAUCUUAUAUUUGGGAUCUAUACAUGGUACUCGGACAACAGACUUAGUAGCAUUGUACAUUUUUGCCAACUUGGAGAAGUCCUCCUCCAUUUGUUCACGUGGCCAUUUAACAGGAUCAAAAACAAACUCCCUGACAAAAAUGCACGUUUAGAUUUACCUCCACUUGUAGAAAACCUAAAACCAAUACCACUUCAUCAUUCAACAAAUUGCUCCAGGAAAGACUCAGUUAAGAAACGCUAUUGUUUAUAAAACCCAACGCUGUACAGUGACCACAUUGCUAAAACUGGGCAAACACAUUUUUCAAAUUUAGAAAAGUGUCUCCCAUGAAAGGUUAUCUCUUUUGGAUUUAAGUAGGCCAUGUUGUUAGCUAAAAAUGAUAUCCAUCUAAUAUAUGGGCAUUUGACCAUUACAUAUGCAGCAUCAAUAUGAACAUAGAAUGAUUAAACACACAACUGAAGCAUUACUGUAUCUGUUCAACUUUAGGAUAAAAGUCUUCACGGAAAAAAAGGUGCUAGUUACCAAACAAAUUACGUACAUUUACAAUAUGGGAUAAUCAUAUCUAUAUGCAACUCCGGAAAUAAUAGAAAACAAGAUUGGGAGAACGUACUUCCUAGAAUAGAACACAUUCUUGCGCUCAGGCACGAAAACAUCAGCCCCAAGAAUGUUUCCACCUCUUGAAGCUAUGCAAUCCGAUAGUUUCGCCACGAUCCCAACUUCGUCCUGAUUUUCAAAACCCAAUUUAAUUCUCAUUAUUUAACGCCAGAGCUAACAAGCGAAUCCAUCUUACUACGACGGUAAAUAAUUAAAUAGAAAAAGGAAAGAUCCAAAGACUCCACUCUCCACGAAAAGCAUGAAACAACCAAAAAAAUUGAUGAUAUGAAAUUUUCUACCGCUUUCUAUUCUUAUCCUGCAUUUUCUCAACAACCAAAUAGACGAUCAUGGAAUCUGAAGCGAACACGUCAAAGACAGCAGGAGAUAGAACUUACAGGGCAAUGAAAGAUGUGGAUGCCGUUUAUAAGAAAGGGAGAGACAGAGGAAUCGAGGGACUCCCCGUGGAUUUUGCAAGAUUUCAAGGAUCUUUUUGCAAUUCUGCAUACUUGAGGUAAACUUGAACAUAAUGUUCGCGUCGGAAUCAUUUCUGUUUUUCUCUCUGCACCCUCUGAAACUAAAAGCCACCCACCAAACUUUGGCGGCCGUAGCCGUUAUCCCCGCCUAUCCCGUGUGUUAAUUUCAAUUUUUCUGGCAUCAGAUAAUUAGAUCUAUACGGUGACGUUUCACUAUGAGGAGGAGAUCGAUUUGAUUUGCGGGCCACGACAAAUUACAGCCGUAGGUUUAGAACUACAGCAGAAGAUUUUAUCAAAAAAUAUACUUUAGUCAUAAAUAAAUUAGAAAUAUUUGCCAUCGUUCAAGUGGUGCUAAAAAUUCUGUAAUUUUUAACUCAUAAAAAUAUAUUUAUCAAAUUUUUAUUAAAAUAUAUUUCUUUAAAAUAUUUAAUUGCACUAAAAAAAUUCUAUCUUUUUUUAUUUUAGCAAUAAUUUACGGAAUAUUUCACAAUUUAUAAAAUAUAAAAAUGAAAGAAAAUUAGUUUUUAUCUAUACAAGGAAUGUCAGUUCUGAAAUUUUGUGAAAUAUUUUGAUAAUAAUAACAAAAGGGGUGGGGGGAGGGAAAAAAAAAAAGAGAGUGAAAAUAUUAAUAUAAUAAUGUAUAGAACUAUCCGUACACUAUAUAAUCAUAAGUUGGUACUUACAAUAAUAAUAGUAGUAGUAGUAAGUCAUUAAUUAAAAAUGUACGUAAUCAUAAUAACAAAAAUUAAUAAUUAAUUACUACAGUUGUAAUGAAAAACAUAAAAGGAGAUGCCGUACUAAUUGGUUUCUUAACUAAAAAAAUUAACACAAAUAAUAGUAUUAUAAAACGGAUAAUUAUUGAGCUAAUCAGUCUAAUCAAGGUUCAUAAUAUUAUUCUUCUUUGGUCUUGUCUUUUGGGUUAAUUGAGUCGGGCUUGAAUUAAAAUUGCCCAGCUUUUGGGUUUAUUCUCAUUUAUACACCUCUAAUUAAUUAUAUAUUCAUAUGUAUGUAUUUACGAUACAGUUUUCUCGGACAAUUUUGAAACAAAGUUUUCCCGUUAUACUUACUUGUAAGUAUUUAAAUACACAUACAUCUUUACGUAAAUAAAUUAUUUUAUUGUUAUUUUUAUUUUAUUUUUUUUAAUUUUAUUGUUGUUUUGUCUUUUACAUUUUUAAUUAAUAGAAUGGAAUAAACUAUUAAAAAAUUGUAAAUAUUUUCACACUAAAAAUUUUGAACAAAAUUAGUGUAACGACCCCGGAAAAUAUUAAAAUGAACUGAGUAUUUAAAUAUAUCGAAUGCGGAAGCGAGAUCAAAACUUCAGUUAACAUCCCUUACACGAAAAACAAAAAAAAAACGUACUUAAAAUAUAAAAGAUUAAACUAACUAAGAAAGAAACUCGAAAAUAAAACUAUGCGUAUGACUACAGAGUCUCUAGGCAUCCCCUUCGUCGUCCUCCUGCGGAACGGGCUCGGGAACCAUGUCUUCCUGAUCUGAAAUGGUUAAUUAAGGAGUGAGCUACACUAGCCCAGUAAGAACAUCACGAUAUCUCACCGUCACGGAGAUAAAGGUGGGUAGAAAACCACAAAAAGACCAAUGGAGCAUAAUUUACAAUAAACUCGUUUAUUAACAACAAAACCUUUUAUCAAUAAUAAAACUUUGACCAUCCACUUACCUUGGUGGAAUUUAUGAAAACAAUAUGAGAAAAACAAUAACAUUAUCAUAAUCAUUGAAUAAUCUAAGCUGUAAAACAUAACACUUAUCACGCCUCUUGUAAUUCAAUCAUUGUACAACAUAUCUUUUUCUCAUUUACCAGCCUACUAGUAUCCGUGGGGGUCCAUAGGGGUUCCGCUACCCGUUAACCCUUAACAUUCAUAAUCAGUUUCCAGGGCCGUCCCCAUACCCCGUCCGGUAUGGGCGCCAAAACCAUGAACCUCAAUACCCCGUCCGGUAUGAGGGUGAAACGGGCCGUCCCCAUACCCCGUCCGGUAUGGGCGCCAAAACCAUGAACCUCAAUACCCCGUCCGGUAUGAGGGUGAAACGGGCCGUCCCCAUACCCCGUCCGGUAUGGGCGCCAAAACCAUAAACCUCAAUACCCCGUCCGGUAUGAGGGUGAAACGGGCCGUCCCCAUACCCCGUCCGGUAUGGGCGCCAAAACCAUAAGAUCUCCAUACCCCGUCCGGCAUGUGAGACCACAAUCCCGGUAGGGUUCCCUACGGACCCGGUCCGUCCACCAUCUCCCAGGAUAUCUAGUCAGGCUGACCCCCAUAAUACAAUUAUCAGUCUACACAAUCUUUCAUUUUUCCUUUUCCUCAAUCAGCAUCAUCAAUUCACAUUUAAACAAGCAAAUCGUAAUUCAUACCAAACAGACAACAUACAGUAUCAGUUUUUCAGUCAUUCAACCCAUAAUUAAUAAAAACGUAGUACAUGCACACAAAUCUGUAAAAUGAACACAUCAAACCUCAUUUUGCAUUUAAAGCUGUAAACAGGCCAAAUAACAGUAAAUCAUCAAUCACACUAGACUCGGGCUCCAUUAGCAACCUUAAGCAAUUUCACACAUUCGUUGGUUCAUGAAAUACCGUUUUAUCAUUUAUUGAACUUUAAUACCGUGAUAGAAAAUAGGGUGAGGGGUCCUUACUUGUUUUCGGGAUCCGAAUACGAUUCACAGUGCGCCUGCAGGCUGUCCCUAAUUUUCCCUGAAUUUUUCCCGGGGAACUGAAACACGCUAACAGUACCUGCACGGGUUCCAAAAAAAUUCCAAAUUAGGUCCAGGGCCUCUUUCGGCCCAAAUCGCAACUCCGGCACGGCGGCUCCGCCGUGCUCCGGCGACGGCGCCGCCGCUGGCGGCGGCGAGUCGCCUCGGGUUGACUGUUUUCGGCCGUUUUUGGCCGAAUUCGGCCACACUCGCAUUGGUCCUUGUCAGAAAACAACCCUAGGGCCCUCGGGGGGCCAAAAAAUCACGGAAAAGCGGAGCUUACCGGCGGCGGCGCACUCGGGUACGGCGACUCUCCGGCGAAGUUCGUGUUUUGGUGAUUUGGCUUCGGUCAACCUGUAGAGAAAAGAAUGGUGAUCACGGUGAUAUAAAAAUUGCAUCGAACGGAGGCCGGGAAGGGCCUCGUCGGAGGCAAAAACCGAGAGGGGGCGCGGCGGCGCCGCUGGGCUUCGGCCGCGUAUUUCGGCCGUUUGGCCGGGAUUUCGGCUUCGAUUUGGCCAUAGGAGGAAUCAGUGGGGAAAAACGAGUCGGGGGUAUGAAAUUUACCUCGAUCGGCGGUCGGAAAUUUCCCCGGUGCGGCGGCGAGUGGCGGCGGGUGGCGGCGGUCGGCCUCUGGUUCGUCUUCUCCAGCGAGCGGCUGGCGGCUAGGGUUUUUGGUCUGGUGUGGGGGUUCUAUUUAUAACCCCUUGCCUUUUGAUCACAGCUGUUCGUUUCGUUUUAAUCUGGGCUGUUCGUUUUUGAUUGAAUCUGGGCCGUCCGUGCGUUUGAAUCUGGGCCGUCCGAUCGCGUGAUUGAUCUGGGCCGUCGGAUCGCACCCACGCGGAUCGCCAACGUGGCUCCUUUCGGAGUGACGCGAUCUUGCCACGUGGCAGGCCCCGGUUGGCCGGGACUGCUGACCGGGCCUGCUGACGUGGCUGCUGACGUGGCCCCCCCCUUUUUUUUUUUCCCUCCUUUCCGGGCGCUACAAUUAGCAUACGCAUGUGCUAUAUAUAUAUAUAUAGAGAGAGAGAGAGAGAUAUAUUUAUAUAUUUUUUUGAGUUACCAUAAAAAAAAAUUAAAAAAUUUAAGACUGUAUUUAGGAAUAUUUUCUAUUUUUUGAUUUUUUAAAUUUAUAUUUAUUCAUUCAUGAAAGUGUUGUAAAUUUAAAAUACAAAUAAAUAAUUUUAAAAAAAUACUAAAAAAUAAAAUUUUUAAACCUUAUUUGUAUUUUGUUAUUAUUAGUAAAUUUAUAUAAUUUUGUAAAUAAAGUAUAUAUAAAUCUAAAAAAUUUGGAAUUAUUUUUCUCCCAUAUACGUUAUAGUAAUAAUUUUUAAGAGAAGACAAAAAAAAAAACCCAACAUUUUAUAACUUAUUUUAUUUUAUUUAAAGAAUGAAUUAUACAAAAGAAGCAGAAAUUUUGACGAAUCUCGUGGGAGAGAGAACGCCCAGAUCUGUCGUCAAGCAACCCGGAGAAACCUGAGAGCAAAACUUUCGUAUCCUGGGUACUUCUCAUUAGAGCUUAAAAUCCAAUACGAUUUCUUAGAGAAAAUGCCUGUAAGUAUUUGUUCAUCUGGAAAUUUCUGAUUCAGUCAUCUUCCAAUAUUUUUUAUUAACUCGUCGAUUGGGUUAUCGUUGUCUGCGUUGCAGUUUACGAGAGUGAUAGAGGUGGAACCCCCGAGCCCUCUUAGAUACCUGAUCGGAGCGGCGAUCAUGAUGAUCGGAGUCGUCUUACCCGUUGGUUACAUGAUGUUUCGAAACAAGCGUGUGCCUUCCUCUUCUUCUUAUUCCAAACAGACGUAGGUGUGCCUUUGCUUUUUUUUUUUUUUUUUUAAAGUUUGUUAAUAUUCCUUUAAGCUGAAAAUAGUCUAAUUUAGAGCCAAAUUUUUUAUCUUUCAAAUUGUAGUAGUCUUGCAGUAAAAAUAUGAAAUGAGAUUCAGUUAUAUUUGGCUUAAUGGAAAAUAGAUUUCAUGCCGUAUCAUGUUGGAAUCUUAAUGGCUUGUUUGGUUGCUAAUAAAAUGUUAGGAUAGCUGGAUAACUGAAUGUGCGUCUUUAAUUUUUCCUUUACUAUUUUCUUAAGCAGCGGAUAGUCCUUUGGUUUUGAUGAGACUGGAACGAUCUUCCAUGAUUUAAGCAUCAAAUUGAACUUUUUAAGUAGAGUGCUUUGCGUUGCUUAAAAAUAAUAUAUUAAUUUCAUUUCUGAAUCCGGGGAAAAAAAGGACAGAGGAACUGAUUCUUAGAUUUGUUUUGGUUGACAUAUCAGGAACAAAGUUUUGAUAUAGACACACUGAAAUCAGAGAGGCUUUUAGAUAUGAUUCAUGGGUUGUUUAAAGUCUGAAGAAGAUGGAAAAGGAAGAUGCAUCGAGAUAUCGACAAAAUACAAAUGUAAAUGCGUUAAAACUCAAAUCUAUUACUUUGUUUGUGUAUGAUCCCAAUUCAUGUUUGUGAAAUGACAUACAUGUUGUUUGGUGCAGUUUUCCUCAUUUUCUUCAUUAGAUAGUCUAGUUAAUGAAUAUUAUCUUUGUUUUGUAAUUCUCUCUAAUGGCUGGACUAUAUCCUGAUUAUUCUUUUGUGUGAUGGUAAACAUGAGUUUGAGAUUUUUCUUUUUCAGUUUUCAUUCCGUUCAAAUGUUAUUUCUCCACUUAGUUACUAAGGUUAUGUUUGGAAUAAAUUCAAAUUUCUUGUGUAAAAUUUACUUGUAGAUAUAAAAUUAUUCAAAAUAAUGAAAUUCCUAGUUAAAAUAACGAAAAUUGAACUAACAUAGAAUUUUAUAUGGAAUUAGAAUAAAGCAAUCCAAAUUUUAUCAAAUUUGACAAAAUUUAGACUGUAUUUUCCAAUUUCAUGUAGAAUUCCAUGUGAGCUAAACUUUUUAUAAUCUCCUAAUAGGAUUUGCACGUCUUUUAGUUAAAAGAAAUAUGAAUUUGCAAACAAAUUCCAUAAAAAUUUAAGAUUUGUUCCAAACAUAACCCAAAUUAAUCUUAUAGAUUAAAUUAAUAUGGAGUUCUAUAUGAAAUGCUUUCCAAUUUUAUUAAAUUCAAUGGAAUUUAGAAUUCAUUAUUCUGAUUUCAUGAAGAAUUUCAUAUGAGCUCAAAUAUUUAUCAUGUUAAAAUUUGCACGUCUAUCAAGUUAAAACAAAUAUGGAUUUGUAAAUGAGUUCCAUAUAAAAUUUUGAUUUUUGAACUAGUAUUUACUAUUAACUAUAUUUUCUUGGAUUUUUCAUCUUCUAUAGGGUUGGAUGGUUUCUUGGACUUAGUUUGGUUUUAUUGCAGGGAUCUAAGAGUUCUUUGCUUUAUGGUUGGAUGAUUAUGAUCAAAGUAAUUUAUACUAUUUUUACUACUGAACUUUAUGGGGACUUGGUAUUAUAUGAAGUUGCCAUGAUCUGUGUAAUCUACACUCUUGAUUUCUAUUUUAAUGACGAGUAAAAGGUUGUCACAGUGACUUUUGGUAAUGUUUAAGCCAUGUAGAAUAUGGCUUAUGAUUUUUCUUUUCCAGCAGUUGGUUCCUUGCAGGGUGUCCUUAUUACUGACGGAUUACUUAUAGACUAGAUUUGCUUGGUUUCUUGAAGGGGCAAAAUUUGUUAGUUUCAACAACUUUCUUCUCCCUUUGAGAUCCCAUCAAAGAGGAAGUUGCUAGUAGCUUUUGGUUAUAUAUUCAUCCUUUCGUGGUGAUUUUUCUUCUUUUUUGCCUUUGGUUCAUUGCCUUCAAAAUUCUUGAUUUGAGUUAGAUGGUGGCAUUUAACUGAUGAGAUUGAGGAGUUGCGAGAGCAUUGCGGGUGAUAAACAUAAGAAGAACUCAUCUCUUUUAUCUCCUUAGCUACCUUGUUAAAAGGGAUUUGCAGAGUGUUUCACAUGUUUUCUUAGAGGAGAUAACAAAUUAUGAAUGCUGAGUUGAUUACUAAUUAAAUAGUUAAAUUUAUGUAGAGGCAUCAUGUGGAAGGUUAAAUUGAUAAUCUUUAUAAGGAGAAGCAUUAUGAACCAUAUGUCUUGAGUUUUCUUGUUUUAAAUGUUAAUGAGGGUUGGGUUUAGAGAUAGAUAGUGUUCAUGUAUGAGGACUUGUAUUUCUUCCUCUCCCUUUUGACUAUUGUUAAUGAUAACCCUUGUGGUUUUUCAAGGCCUCAAGUUAUGUAAGGCAAGGGAAUCGUUCUUUCCACCUCCUUUUCAUCAUUGUUAUGAAGAUCCUCAACAGACUAAUUGUUACAUUCAAAGAAACAUUGCAUCACUUAGGGGUUGCUUGCGCGGAAAGGAAGGAAAGUGGUGGAGGUGUGAGUUGUCAAUCUUGUAAAAAAUUUUAGUGAUGCGGAAGUUCAAGGAUAUAUCACUCCAUGGCCUUUCCUUUUGUAUUUGUCAUUACAAGAGGAACUUUAAAUUGAUUGAAAGCUGGGUAUUAGUGGUUCUUUCAUUGUAAAAUUCUUCUUUUUGCACCAGGUUCAUUUGUUGUUGCCCAUCGCAAUUUCCCUUGAAGCAAAUAUGAAAAUUGAACUUGUUUCCUUAAUAUUUUUUUCCCUUUUUAAAACUUGAGAGGCAACGAGAGGGAGAAUUCCCGCUAUUGACAAAGCUUAAAAAUGGAAAGAGUCCUGUGUACAUGUGUUAUUUAUGCAGGUGAAUCUCUAAAUUUUCAUCCUAUUGUGGUGAGUUUUCUUCCUUAGCCUUUGGUGCAUUGCCUUAAAUUUCUUCAUUUGAGUUAGAUGGUGGCAUCUGACUCACAAGAUUUGGGAUUUGCAGAGCAUUGUGGGUGAUAAACUUAGGAAGCAACUCAUCUCUCUUAUCCGCUUAGCUACCCUUUUUUUUUUUUAAGAGAGGGUUUCCAUUCUCCUAAUUCUACUUUUUGAGUUGGAAGAUCUUGUAGAUAUCGUAACCGAUCUGCUGAAAAGGGCAUAGCACUAUUUUGGUACCUUGCUCGCACACCCACACACACACAAACAUAAAUGUGAAAAAUAAUAAUUUUUAAGCACUUAGUUUUAGUUGCUUAGGACUAAGAAAAAGAAUCCACAGUAUGUUUCAAAUUCUUGUAGGUGUUUAUUUUUAUCUGUUAAUUAAUUCUUUUUAUCCUUUUGCACUUUAUUAUUUAGUUCUAAUAACAAGUUUAAACUAUAUUUGGAAAAAUAAAUUUGUAAAAUUUAUUAGAAGAUAGAAACUCGUUUAAAAUGACUAAAUGAAAAUCCUGCUUAAAAUGAAGCAAUUUGAUCUUCUAUAAUGAAAUUAGGAAGUAAAUUAUUAUGAUAACACUACAGCUAAAAUAACAACAUAUUUCCAAAUAAAUCUAAAAAAAAAAUUGUUUACAUCUCCAAUAAUGAAAUUCCUGUGGCAUUGCCGUGGACAAAUUCACCAGUAUAUCAGUUCAUUCCUUGAUUCAUGCCAAGGACAGGGCCUUAGAGAGAGAAAGAAGGGAUUGUGGAAGACAUUUGAGAAUAGUAGAUUGCAGGGGUAAAUGAAUAUGGAUCAAUAACCUGAUGUACCAUACAACAGAAAUAUAUUGGUUAUCACGUUGCAGCUGUCCUGGCCACAACCUUACUUUACACUACAUCCAUCAUUCUCAAAAUCAUUAAAUUCAUAUUGUGAUAAUCACUAGAAAGUAAAAAUUGUCAUAACCAUGGAGAACGAAUAAAGGAUCCAAAAAAUCUUCUGUCAACAAAUAAUUGAUGUAUUUCCUGGCCAUUUCACUUCCUUUUCGGAUGAGACAUGGGAACACUUAGUUUUGUAUUUCCCACAUGGAUGGCUACUUGACUCUGAUGGAGCCAAACAAACCCUCCACGGAAAAAUUUGCCUUGCCCCACAACAGAUGGGACAGAAAGGAAUGCAACAUUGCCCUGUUUGGUAAUGGUAGUUUUACCACAUCAUGGCUUAAUGACUGCAUUGCACUACAUACAAAGCAUGCUUGUAGCUACUGGUCAUGCCAUCUCCCUAGAGCCUCUCCAAAGCGAAUUUUAUCCCCACGUUUGAUACAAAACCUGAAAUCUGNNNNN